UCAGAUGUUCAACCGACUAAGCUACCCAGGUGCCCCCCAGAAAUGUAGUGCUUUUACAAUGCAUGAACUUAAGUGACCAUCAAAUUAGACUGCUAUAUACAUAAGAUGUUAUAUAUGAACCUCAUGCUAACCGCAAACCAAAUACCUUUGAUACACAAAAAAUAAAGAGGAAGGAGUCCAAGAAUAACACUAAAGAAACGCACCAAAUCACAAAGAAAGAGAACAAAAGAAGGAUAAAAGAACAGAGAAGAACUACAAAACCACAAGAAAGCAAUCAACAAAAUGGCAAUAAAAUGCUGUUGGAGGAUAUGCUCCACAAAAAUAAGGGGAUAAACCAAGAAAGGACGUAUGUGAUCCAUGAACCUCCAACACAGGAGGGAAUCAAACAGGAUCCCAAAACGAGUAAUCUCUACACCCAACGUGGGGCUUGAACUCAUGACCCUGAGAUCAAGAAUCGCAUGCUCCACCCACUGAGCCAGAUUGGUGUCCCCAUUUGGGUAAGACUCCAAAUAAAACCAAACAUUGUUUUACUUCUCUUCCAAAUCCCUUAAUUUUAUAGCCUUUUGGAGCAAAAAAGCAGUAAUCCAUCUUAUUGAAACCAAAAAUAUGUAAAUU
Molecule: long non-coding RNA, 615 nt
Organism: Acinonyx jubatus (cheetah)
Lineage: Eukaryota; Metazoa; Chordata; Mammalia; Carnivora; Felidae
Exons: 3
Source: RefSeq, a predicted model, not a curated record